GUUUAUGCUAUAAACACUCUAUAUGUUGGGGAGGUUGUAGGAGUGGCCCUACCUGCCUCUGAAGGUGCGCACAGAAGUUACAUUUUCACAUGAUGAGGCCCCAGAAAGUUCUCUGUAGCCACAACACAAAGUGUUCACAGCUGCAGAGCACUUUUAAAAUGGCCAAAUCACAUGAAAAUGUAACCCUCAUCUGCUGUAGUAUCAGGCAGGGGUGCUACAGGGCAGAGCACCUUAGGGAACCUCUGUACAGGUUCCCUGCGAGGGUUAAUUUUGGGCGAUGCCACCCACAUCCUAUGCAGUUUUGUGGGACUGGGCUAGUCCGCAUGAGGGCAAACACAGACCCAGCCCCACCCCCACCCCCAGGCUGUCAAAGAGGAGACAGAAAACCUGUUUCCUCCCUGUGCAGCCAGAUAAAGUGAAAAGAAGGGAGCCCCACUGCUGCAUGAGCCUCCCACCAACUACCCCUGCUGGGGUCCUGGGGGGAACUGGGCUGGGCCCACAUGGCAGGGGGUCUCCCUUUCCCCAACUCCCUACUUCCCACACAAGCAUUUUGACAGCAGCAGAGACUGCCUCACCCAGAGCUGGGGGGAAAACAAACUUCGUGGCCCAUCUUAGCACCCCCCAAGACUCCAGCAUAGACAGCUAGGGAAGCACACAAGGUGAAGGGGGAGGGGGCUCCAUUUCCCCCCGCCGCAGUUCUGGGUGCAACAGCCUCUGCUACUGUCAAGAUAUUCACGUGGAGGGUGGGGAGAAGGAAGGGAGCCCCCCCUGCCAUGUGGGCCUGGCUCAGCUGCUCCCCAGAGCCUAGUAGGGACAGUUGUGGGGGGAAGGGAAGAGAAGGCAUGCAGUGGGGGGCUCCAUCUCCCCCCUCCCUCUAGCUGCUGCUGACAGUUGCAGCUGGCUGGGGUUGGGGCUGGGGAAAGGGGUGGUCUGGCAGCCUCCUGGGAACAUGGCUAAAGCACCUCCCCAACAGGCUGCCUAGACUUCUGUACAGACCCUGAGACAUACUGCCAUUACAUGGAGCAGAAGAGAGGAGAAUUAUGUUGGAGGAGGUCUGUGGCUUUUCAGGGAACAGCAAAUAUGUCAAUAGCUGAGGAAAGCUGAGUUCAAUCACGUCUUCAUAUCUUCAACAGUUCGAGGGGGUUAAUAGCACUUUGCAGAAAAUUUGUUGACAAACAAAGGUUUGUUUGUUUGUUUGUUUUUACAAAGGCUCUUUCACUCUGCAAUAUACCUGACACACAUUUAGUGCUCCAUGGAUAACCCGUAUAAUCCUAGGGCAAUUAACCCAUCAGAAAUCCAUCAUCUUGGACAACAGCAAGUUGCAGUCAGAAUGAAGGAUGAUGGAGACCAGCCAGGAAAGGGAAGAUGGGAGCAAAUUACUAUUUUAACACAGGGUUUGAUGCUGGAAGGGAAUGAGCACCAGCAACUUCUACUGACAUCUACGAGUGCGAAGGGUGCCCAGCGCUUUACAAGAUCAGAUCCUUAAUGUUUGCAUUAACACUUAGUAGUAAAAAAAUGAAAGAGAAACAAAUAUACUUUGCCCCUGAAACACACCAAAUUCCAACUACUUCCCAAGUUUUUCAUGAGGCAUUAGUAGCUCUUGAAUGAUGCAUCACACCCACCCCACAGACAAAAGCUUUAUCAUAGGCCCCCAUCCAUGAUAUGUGAUUGUAUUCAACAGCCACUGUGCCCUAAAUGUGUACCCUGAAUUGUUUUCUCAUAAUUUAUUUAAUUUAUAACUCAGAGCAACAUGACAAUGGAAUCACUUAAUGUGAAUUUCAGAAGUUGCUGUCAAGAUUUUUUCUGUAUUGUGGCAACUAUGCAUUUUGUUGAUUCAUAUGAAAUAAAACGAAAUAGGUAGCAAA
This is a long non-coding RNA of Gavialis gangeticus (Gharial), 1865 nucleotides long. RefSeq lists it as uncharacterized. Lineage: Eukaryota; Metazoa; Chordata; Crocodylia; Gavialidae. The transcript has 2 exons. The record is from RefSeq and is a predicted model, not a curated record.